GUCCACGCCGUAAACGAUGGGCGCUAGGUGUGGGAGGUGUCGACUCCUCCCGUGCCGCAGCUAACGCAUUAAGCGCCCCGCCUGGGGAGUACGGCCGCAAGGCUAAAAACUCAAAGGAAUUGACGGGGGCCCGCACAAGCAGCGGAGCAUGUGGUUUAAUUGGAUGCAACGCCAAGAACCUUACCAAGGCUUGACAUGGUCGAGAAAGCCGGAGAAAUUCGGUCCUCCUUCGGGACUCGAUCACAGGUGGUGCAUGGCUGUCGU
RNAcentral lists this ribosomal RNA (264 nucleotides) under uncultured bacterium. Its description in RNAcentral is "partial 16S ribosomal RNA". It matches the Rfam family "Bacterial small subunit ribosomal RNA", at positions 793 to 1055 of the family's 1533-position model. The record is from RNAcentral.